Molecule: non-coding RNA, 2966 nt
Organism: Triticum urartu
Lineage: Eukaryota; Viridiplantae; Streptophyta; Magnoliopsida; Poales; Poaceae
Source: RefSeq, a predicted model, not a curated record
AAGGUAGAACCCUAGCCGCCUCCCCAUCUGCCGCCCCGCCCGACCCGCUCACCCCACCGCUCCGCCCGUCCCGCUCGCCCCCUUCCCAGCCGCUCACCCCGCCCGUCCAGCUCGCCGUGGCCGAUGACCACGCCACCAGAGACCGCGGACCUUGGCGCAGGCCUGUGCUCCCGAGCGGUGGUCCCUCCUCGUCGCCACCCCUCUCCUCUGCCCCGUGUCGGAUCCGAGGCGUGCGGGCGCGGAGGCGAGCUUCUCCAGCGGUGGCCGCCACCCUCUCGUCUCCUCAAUCCUCUUCAUAUCGUCCCGCGUUCUUGAUCUAUGCCGCCGCGUGCUGUGGUUCUGGAUUGGGCGCAGGCUGCCGCCAUUGGAGAGCAGCGGCGGUGAGGUCUUUAGCUCGGGUGCGAGGAGCAGGGGGGUGAGGUGGACGGUGUUGUGGCGAAGAAGUGAUUGAUGCGGCCGGCAGCGAGCGCCGGUGAGCGACGAGGAUGCUACCAUCUCUCCUCAUAUCCUCCCAGAUUCUCGAUUGGAGCGGGGGACAGACGCCGCCACAGGCCACCGGGGACGCCUCUGCAUUGUCGUCGGCUGGACGAGGAAAACAGCAAGAUGCUGGCCUAUGCAUCGAACGUGGGCCGCUUCAGCUUUAGGGGAGAUUUGACUAUGGCGCAAGGUCCCCCACUUCCUUGUUGUGGCGCUGUAGCGUCAUGGGCCCUUCUGAAGGGAGAGGGAGGCACAUCGGAGGGUGGUAGCAGGUGCGUCUUGCUAAAGCAACCAGUGGUUCUCGUGGCCUGAAGCAGCAAGUAUUGUGGAGAUUGAUGGACUAGGUGCUUGCAGCCGCAGUCCAUCGUGCUCUCGGUUGCUGACCUUGAGGUCCAGCGGCAACUGCCCGUCGCUUAGGGGAUGCUUCUAAGCUGCAAUGCUCCAUAUCCGAUGCAAUAUAUUUCUGCUUUAUUGAAGAGGACUAACUUGUGCUGGGAAAGAUUCCUGAAGGUGAUGUCAGAUCAUUGGCCUGGAUUGUAGGAUUGCAUGAGUUGGGGCUUGCGAUUGCCCAUUGUGGUGCACAGGUAGAUUGUAGGAUGUACUUGCCGAAAUGAGCAUGGUCGCCAUGCUAAUUGUUCAAAUAUUCUAUGGUUAUUUCAGUGCUUAUCUCAGUUACUUGAUUUCUUUUGCAGUACUGCCAGGGGUGGCUGUUUGUUUACUGCAGGGGGUGUUGAUCUGCUGCCCCAUUAUUUGAUUACAUGUUUGAUGCUCUCCAAAAAAUGCUACAAAGAAUCAUAAGAAACUUCUCGUGAUAGAUUUACCAUUAGGGAUAUUUACAAAUGUUUACUUCUAAUUCAUUAGCAUAUCCUCUGUUUUUUUAAUUAAUUGUUGCCUCCUGUUUUUUGUUUAUCUUAGCCUUCUGGUGCUUUUGGUGUAUGGGCAAAACAGGUCAGAGUACAAAGUGGUGAAUUGCAUUUCACAUGCCAAGAUAAACAAAGAAUAAAAAAAGAAAACAUGGUAUUCUCUAACACAAGAGCAUGAUACCUUGGGUCCAUUGGUGCAGACCAAGAGAUAAGAACUACUUAUGCUGCAAUAGUUUCAGUGGAAGUAUAGUCAGGUGUUUAAUUGUUUUUUUACAGUUUUAGCUAAUUGGCUGGGUAUCCACUUUAUCUUUUGUGCUUGCACAUAUAAUCGAUUCUCUGGUCCAUACUUGCAUGUUCUCUAAUUAUCUUGGAGUGCUGGCAAGUAAUUAGAACAUAUCUUGGUCCAUACUUGCAUUAGAAUAUGCCACAUAGAAGGAUGUCGCAUAUCUUGGAAUAAGAAUGGCCACACGAGCAUUCUGUCAUGAUAUUGUAAUGAGUGGUCGAUACUUGUGGCAGUGCUGCAAUGGUGCUAUGUUGCAUGUUUGCACAAGAUGCCUGUAAAUUCUUGAUCUUCGUCAUGCCUCCUGCUUACUAUUAGUUCAAUUGAGCCCAAUCUUUCUGGUCGUAUUGCUACGCGCUUAUGAUUAGUUGCUCUAUUUCUUGGUUGUUGUAUUGUAGGAUAGGGAGGCAGAAGAGAGGACAUGCCGGGGAAUGAAGGAGAACAAACAGUGUCUCAGGCACACAAGCUAAAGGUUCACCAAGUUCAGGGAAAGAAAAGUUUCCCUAGACAUGUGGCAGCAGCUGUUAAGACAAGAGCGGCGCUGUGAGCGACAACCCUCGAUCGUCUUCCUUGUGGAAUCAGGUACGCGUCGUCCAUCGUGGGUGUUGGCGGGUGGCCGGAGGCGGCUACAUCAGGCCAGUGUCCGUGAUCAAGACUGACACCAGGAAGGCUGCCGGUCUACAGUUGUGCACUCAAUUCAAAUGAUUAUUCUCCGUUCUUUUCCUCAGAACUACAUAUGAGAGGUACAAAGGGUUGGCCAAGAUACUCAAUUAAGCUAUUCGAUUUAAGGUCCUUUGCUGAUGUUGGUUGUGUCCUUGCUGCUUGGAGAGGGGGUGAGGGCAGAGGACUUUGAUGCCAGAAAUAGGCGAGUAUUUUCAGGUCCACUACACCAAAGAAAAGCUGAAAGAGUACAUCAAACCAGAUGAUGACACACUCAAGGUCAAGCUCGCAAACAGCAGUCUGCACACCAGUUGUCGUAUCAUGCUGGGAACAGACAAGAGAGCCACAAUAACCAGAAACUGGUCGGAGUUCCGCCACCGUGCAAACAUCCAUGAAGGAUUGUAUCUGCGCCUUUUGUUUCAAGGUUACCGCAGAGCACCGCCUGACUCUCAUCGUCCAUGUCCUCUAGACGGACCAUCUACAGCAACCCAUGCCUUUUGCAUGCAUAGCCUGUUGUCUUAAGAAGAUCUAAUUUGCCUCUAUGAUAAGAUGAACCUUACCUGUGGUUGCCGAUGAUGCCAUACGUUGCUUUUGUACAACUGCCGGUGAUAUUAUAACCUAUGUAACCCCAGUUAUUAUUACCCGGCAGCACAUCCAUCUAUUGAUCUUACGCAUGAUUUUCUAUC